GGGUGGGGGGUUCGGAGGAGACGAUGACGGUAGCCGAAGAGAGAAGAAGAGAGGAUGGUGGCCGGAGAGAGAGAAGAGAAGAGAGGUCACGGGUGGAGGGGUUUAAAGAGAGAAGAAGAUGACCGGAGGGUAAAAGGGAGAUAGAGGAGAAGAGACGGGAGGAAGAGGCAUGGAGAGGAGAAGAGAUGGGAGGAGAGAAGAGAUGGGAGGAAGAGGUGUGGAGAGGAGAAAAGAAGGGAGGAAGGGGCGCAUGUGGCCUUACAUUGCAUCCCAUUCGAAGU
RNAcentral lists this long non-coding RNA (281 nucleotides) under Elaeis guineensis (African oil palm). RNAcentral describes it as "long non-coding RNA (EGUI_LNC030002)". Lineage: Eukaryota; Viridiplantae; Streptophyta; Magnoliopsida; Arecales; Arecaceae. The record is from RNAcentral.